Molecule: ribosomal RNA, 513 nt
Filed under: Bactrocera melas
Lineage: Eukaryota; Metazoa; Arthropoda; Insecta; Diptera; Tephritidae
Description: partial 16S ribosomal RNA
Rfam family: Bacterial large subunit ribosomal RNA (bases 389-513)
Source: RNAcentral
GUCUUUUUGAGUUAUUUUAAAAGUCUGACCUGCCCACUGAAAUUAUUUAAAUGGCCGCAGUAUUCUAACUGUGCAAAGGUAGCAUAAUCAUUAGUCUUUUAAUUGAAGGCUGGUAUGAACGGUUGGACGAGGUAUAAGCUGUUUCAUAUAAAUUUAUAAUAGAACUUUAUAUUUUAGUCAAAAAGCUAAAAUUUAAUUAAAAGACGAGAAGACCCUAUAAAUCUUUAUAUUUUAAGUUGUUUAAAUUUUUUAGAUUAAUUUUAUUUUUAUAAUUUAGAGUAUUUUGUUGGGGUGAUAUUAAAAUUUAAUGAACUUUUAGUUGUUAAAAAUCAUUAAUUUAUGAGUUAUUGAUCCAUUAAUAGUGAUUAUAAGAUUAAGUUACUUUAGGGAUAACAGCGUAAUUUUUUUGGAGAGUUCAUAUCGAUAAAAAAGUUUGCGACCUCGAUGUUGGAUUAAGAUAUAUUUUUAGGUGUAGCCGCUUAAAUAUUAAGUCUGUUCGACUUUUAAAUUCUU